UUCAGAGUGUUGGAUCAGAUCUGCGUGUAGCUGGUCUUGCUCAGAUGAAUCCUGAGGAUGGAGAUGAGAGAACCUUGUCACUGAAAUGGUGGUGUUUAUCCUGGAUUUGGUGUUCUCUCAACCAGAUAUGAGUUCAUGAUCCAUCCAUGAGAGGUACAAACUUACAUUGUAAAUUUCUGUAUCUUAUGAUUCUUAUUUGGUAUGCUAAAAGUUGUUCAUAGUCUAUCAGAGGCUACCAGAAAUUUUAUGUCAUAUAUAUUAUAUCUCAUGAGAAGACAAAUCAAGAUAUCAUCCAUUUAGUUUAAUAUUGGUUGUGAAUUAGGGAUAAACAGGGUAUGUGUACACUGAUACAGUGUCCUUGGUUCAUCUGAUGCAUACAGAGAAUAAUGCUCAACAUUCUGCUACUGAUCAAUACCUCAUGAGAAUGAAAACAUUAAAUUCAUCAUCAUGUGUUCUGCUUGUUACUGUCAGACUAAUCAAGCUUUAGCCAAGUGGAACAGUGUGUGUGCUUUUUCCUCUGCAAGAGGUUUUCAGUAGGCCUCCACAAUACCAAGCCAAAAAUUCCUCUGAGACCUACUUUUCUGGAGCAUUUUUUAUCUGAGAGAACUACAAUUUUACUUUCCUUUCUUUUUCCUGCUACAUGAUUUUUUUUUUGGAUAAAAUUGCACAAGAUCUUAUUGGAAAUAGAUAUAAAUGUACCACUGAGAAUGAGAAAUUUGACUUAUGUACUAAUCUAGUCGCAAAUAUAAGGAUUUGAUGAUUCAAUUGCUAUUAAUUUGGAUCUAAGCAUUUCAGAUUAAUGAUUUAGGCUUAGUGAAAUUAUUGGACUAAUCUUUCCAUGAAAUUGGAUGAUUUGGAUGAUUUUUUUUUCUUGGACAAUUUUAAUUUAUGUACAUCCAAAAUUCAAUUCAUAUUAGUUAUAGUUAUGGGUGUAUAUAUUUACAGAUGUUCUUUUCUGUGGUCACCCCAUCAGAAGUCAAAAGUACCCAAUCCUUAGGCAGUGAGGACAAAUUUUUAAGUCAAUAGGGUUUUCUGACUAUAAAUCUGUCAAAUUUAAGGCUAAUUGUUAAGAACUCAUUGACUAAAGUUGGAGAAGUUCAAAUUAGACAUUUGUUGCCUCAAUCCAUAAAAUUGCACUGCUAUAGUAUCUGUUGACACAAUUUCCAGUUGAGUUCUCAUGGAAAGCCAAUUGGGAAGAAGAAGAUACUCAUUCAAGGUCCCCUUUUUUCUUCUUUUGUCAGAAAACACUAUCACUGAAUCACACUGCAAACAUGGAUCACAGCAGAACUAAAAUAUAUGAUGAGAUGGAAUUCAAGCAGAAGAAAGUAGCAAGAGAAAUGGAAGGUCCAUUUCAACAUCAAACAAAGUUGCCUGCUCAUGUACUUUAACAAAUAUAAAUUAUCAUGGGUCUCCACUCUUCUACAUAUAACAUGCUGACAUAGACCACAUAAAUUACAAGAAUCUAAACUCAAAACCUUGCCAAGUUGUGGAUUUAUAGUAUAAAUUUACAUUAUGAUGGCUUUGGUGCGGAGAGACCUGAAUCCUCUUUUUAUCCAGAAUCCAAAUCGAUUUCCAGAAGCAGAGCAGUUUGUGUUUCUAUCGAAAUUAAAAGUUUCAAACGAACCUCGAGUCCUUUCUAGACAUAAAUUAGCAACCAAGCCAAAGCAGCAAAAAGGGCCAUCAUCAUGGUGCUUGUCAACCGUGUGGCGGCAUUCGGUAACCAUGGAUACGAAUCUGGGGGAGGCAUGACACAGUUGUCACCAUUGAAGUAUACGCGCCGUGGAAAGGCCCACCCCUUCUCGAAGGUAAAAGUUGAUGGGUCCUUCCGGAAUAGAAGUUCCGACUGCACAUUUCCAUAAGGUCCGGCUUCCAUGAGGAAGUCAUUAUAGUACUUGACACCCCAUAGCAUUGCAGUAUCAUCUGUCAGACCAAAGCCAGUAAGAUUUUAGUUAUAGAAAGAAGCAUUAAGCAACAUGUAUGCUAAACCAUAUAGAUUUCAGACCAACAGACACACCAAAAGCACCAUGAGUUCUUGUGAAAUUAGAUCAGUUACCACCAACGUGAUGAAAUCUCACAGGAUAAACAGAUUACCAGAUUACCGUAUUCCCCCGCCCACAUUUCCAUAGUGAGAGAAAAUGUCAAAGAAUGAACUUGAGGAAAAAUAGAAAUGAAUGAAAAGAAACUUACUUAUGCCUCCGUACGGCGUCAAUGACUUGUAAUUGAAACUAAAAAGUUGAGUGAGAUUGUCUAAGUUCGGAUGCUGGAUAACAAGGUUCCACUGUGUAUAAUUCAUCCGGUAGUUGAAAUUUGUUAUUGCAAUCUUCACACGCCAGUACUCCUUGUAGUUUAGUUUGACAUGCCAAUGGACCCUUACUGGGCACAUAUGUGAUGUGCACUGGACCAAUGGUGUGAAGCUGUUUUUGCCAGGACCGUUGAUGACAGAGGCUAAAUAAGGCGAAUCUCCUCUGGCAUAGUAAACAGUAACAUCAUCAAUAUAUCAGCUAAAAUUUUCAUAGUGAGAAUUAAAGAGGUUGGCAUUUGAACUCACUCCACGCAGCUUCCUGGUUGAGUUGCAUUAUUUUGACAACCACAUGUGCACGUCGGACAGUUAACAAUUGUGUCAUUGUAGAAGGAUGAAAGGGAUACACAGCAAGUAGGAGUCUUCUGAGCGAGAAAUUGGGAAUAUGUACAUGUAACAUUCCAUGUCACUGCGAUUAAGUAUCGAAGAAAAUGUUAGCCGACUAUAAGGACUGUCAUUUCUUGAGUUUCGAAAAAGCAGAAUUGACUAGCUAGGCGAAGUGGCUAUCCUACAUUACUUGAUUGGUAUUUCAUUGUGCAAAAGAACUAAAGAGCCAAAUCCACUACCUGGAAGCUUAUCCUAUUUAAAAUAUCAAACUAUUAGCUUUUCGCAAUUUUUCUUUGAUGACUUACUAAGAGCUUGAGUUGUUCUCCUUCCAUCUUGUGUAACAAAUUUAGUAGGCUUCACAAUCUUGGCUAUUCCACAUGUAUAUCCAGGUCCUGGUGCCCUCAGGGUAAAGUUCUUGGGCACACGGACAGUCUUGUUGGUGGUCCCCGCUGCACCAACACUGACCUGGAAUGAACUUGCAGCAUUGGCUGGAUCUUGCACCCAUGAAUUAAUCACCCCUCCUUUGCAACAAUUGGCGAUUUGCUGGUUAUAUGGUGUUCCAGGAAGUAGAUCAACAACUGUCGGAUCUUUCUUACAGCAAUGUGGAGUGUUCCCCUUGAAUCUUGAGCAAUCACCCUGCUCUGUGGUCUGGGCUCCUACCAUUGACCAGAUGACCUCCUUCUUUGCCCAGGUCCACCCAAGAAUCCAUCCGGGUGCUUGAAUGUGACGAUAUUGCUGGAAAUUGAAUAUCGUAACGACCGCCUGAAAAUUAUUCAUAUCAAUAUUUUGAUUGUAGAUGCAAAAUUCACUUGCUAUAUAAACUGACAGAAGUUUAUGCAAGGAUGAUCUCAAGAAGGCAAGAAUUUGAGUUGUCUCUUCAAUCAGUUACUAUGAGAAUUUAUACAUGGCGAAGCAAAAUGCAAAGGAUUGCCCAUGCGAGCAUCACAUGCUUUCAGCAGUGUCUCUCUUUUGUACUUACAACAUAACCAUCCGGUGUCCACUGCAUUAUGUCCCAUUUGAUUGUUAUAUUUCCAUUGGGGUCCAACGAAUCAUAAGCUUCUGUAAUCAAAACAAUUAAAGCAUGAAUCAGAAAAGAACGCGACAGAAAAACACAAUUUAGCUAAGAAGUUUCUUGGAUCUACUCAACAGAACACCGAAGAAAACAAAUCCCUGAUACAAAUCUGAACAUCCUUUAACAUCAAGGGAAUAGUCUUUGCUUUACUGGAAAAUAAAAAUUCCAAUCCCCCAUUCAAACCAUUCCUCCAAGAUUCCCAGAAGUAAUUCUUGAAUAAAUUGUGCAAUGAACACCCCAAAUUGGACCUCUUGAUUGGAUUUCUUCCCUAUGUAGUAACAUAUUGGUUCUUAAACAGCAUUGUUCUCAAGCUUUUUUCGGUGAUGAAAAAAAAAGCUUUGAUCAUUUUGAUUGUCUGCAUAAAUUAGAGAUUUUGACAUGUUUCUCUUUCUGCAGGUUUUCAAACCCUCAAAUACUGAACUAGCUGCUGCUACAACAGCAACUUCACAC
RNAcentral lists this long non-coding RNA (4148 nucleotides) under Musa acuminata (dwarf banana). RNAcentral's name for it is "long non-coding RNA (MACU_LNC000403)". The record is from RNAcentral. Lineage: Eukaryota; Viridiplantae; Streptophyta; Magnoliopsida; Zingiberales; Musaceae.